This 3155-nucleotide long non-coding RNA is filed under the name Vitis vinifera (wine grape). RNAcentral's name for it is "long non-coding RNA (VVIN_LNC001886)". The record is from RNAcentral. Lineage: Eukaryota; Viridiplantae; Streptophyta; Magnoliopsida; Vitales; Vitaceae.
CAGAGGCCAAGAAGAUGCUGGAAACAAAAGUGGUGCUUCUUGGAAGGACUUUCUAAAAAUAGGGUUCAAUUUGGGACCAAAAGAAGUUGAUACGGACAAGAAGAGUAGUGAUGAUAGAAUUAUACCUGGGGGACAACUUGAUGAUCAGAUUGCAAAGAAUACAAAGAAGAGGACUCCAAAGUUCGUAAGCUAUAUGGAUGUUUCUGAUAAUAACCGGUUUCUGAAGACAUUAUUACCGAGGAAAUAUAAAUGCGGCACUUUUCCGACUUACCAAGCCUUGACCAUGGGGAAUAAAUAUGCAUCAUCUUCACAUACCGCAGCUUCUGAGGAAGAAGGCCAAGCCCUUGGCACUUCCAAGCAUGCCAAGCAGGUGGUGCAAAAAUCCCACAAGUGCCGGAUCUGCAACAAGAGCUUCCCCACGGGUCAGGCUCUUGGGGGCCACCAGAUAACUCACCGGCCGAAGCCAGCCCAAUUAGCUACAACCAAGCAAGAAGCCAGCCAGAAUGCAGGUCCAAGAGUUUUGGAUUUUGAUCUCAACGAGCUUCCCCCAAUGGGAAAAGAAUGAAGGUGGUGCAGUGUUCUCCCUACAAUUCAGUAAGUUGCACUUAUUGAGUAAAGGCUUAUAGAUUUUGUAAUUUUCCUUAUGGGAUGAUUUUAUUGGUCCGAAUAGAAGUAAAAUAGUUUUGAACUCUCCCAGAUGGAACUGCUGAAAUUUAUUUGUCUGCUGUUGGAUUCAGCCCUAGAACUGAUAGAAUUGGAUUGGAAUGUAAUGGCUUUUGUACACAUGCAUCGUCUCCUAAAACAAUCAAUAAGAAUAAGAACAAGCAUUGGGGGGUGGUUUUGUGGCUUCUGUGUACCUUACAAAAGUUACUUUCUUUUGUAUACGUAUAAUAUGAGAUAGGAUAAGAGAAAAAUUAUCAUAUCCUUUCAUCCUAUAUUUAAUCAGAUUAAACAUGUGAUAGUGAAUUAGAUAUAUUAUCCACUCACUUUCUUUUAUUCAUUUGAUACAAAAUAUGUUAAUCACGAUAGACAUAUAUCAAAAAAUUAUUUCUUAUCAAUUUUUUAUUUUUAAAUAUACUCAUUUUACAAAAUAAAUUUUUUUAUUAUAAAUUAAAUUUAUGAUUAAAAAUGAAAAACUAAAAAAAAAAUAUUUAAUUAUUUAUUUUUAAAAAAUGAUUUUACCACUACUUACUUUUUUUAAUUAAAAAUAAAACUCUAAAAAAUUAACUCGAGAAAGUGAAUUAACUUAUUCUUAAAUUCACGUUUUUACUUUAUCUUUUUACCCCUAUUAUCUUAAUUACUUUCACCAUAUUCAUUGUUUCACCCCCACUUUCAUUGUUACCUAUCUCCUUUGUUUUGGUUAUAAUUUAUAUAUAUAUAUAAUCAAACAACUUUAAUAUUUAAAGUAAAAAAUAAUAAAUUUUAAGUUAAUAAUUUAAAUAUAAUUUAAUUUAAGUCAUUAACUAAUAAAUAUUAAAUUUUACCAAACACCCCACUUGAAAAAAUAAAAAAUAAAAAGAAAAAUGACCCAUCUAUAAUGUUACUCUAAAACCGUUUCUAUUAAUGAAUUGAGGUGAUUUUAAUAUUUCAUUAAUUAAUGCAUGGAUUUGAGAAGAAGCCAGAAGAAGUUCAUGAGAAUUACAUAACUGAAAAACAUGAGAUUAAUGAUAUCUUGAAAUUCGCAUAUUUAUCCUCAGGAUUUCUCAAAAAAUCUUGAAGAUACUUUCAAGUCUUUUAUUUAAGAACAAACUUCACAACAUGAUUUCCUUAGUAGAUGCAACAUAAAUUUCAUUAUUCAGAAUAAUAGAGUUAGAAAUAACUUAGAACCGCUAAUUUAAGUUGGAGAUUAGAUUAGGGGAUAAAAUAAUUAUUGUUAUUAUUUAAUACCCAAAUAAAUAUACUAGUAUAUUUUAUUAAGGAAAGGAGAUCGGUAAGCAUAGAAACUCUAGGGCCCUAGGGUUUCUAUUAGAAUUAUAUAUAUCAGCAAAAUAGAAACCGUUCUCCUUAUCUACUCUUCCUCUGCCUACACUUCUUUCAGUCCACUUCUCACAACCAGGUUCCAGGUUUUUCUUUUUUGUUUUUUUUGUCAAGGGUCUGAUGGGGGAAGCUGUACCUUGUGACGGCGAAGAGAGGCAAGGUUUAGGCUCCGCUGGUUUACCUGAAAAUUGGCUUUCUUUGAAGCCAAUCAACAUUCCGAUGGGAGGUGGCGACGAAGUUGAUGAUGGGAAAAGCGGUAAAGUAAUAGUGGAGGCAAGACUGGAAUGCAACAUCAGCAGCAAAGGGUUGGGUUGUUCAGAAGGUUUCAAGGGUCGGAUGAGAGCUCGCCUUGAUGAUCAGGGCAACAGAGUCGGUCGUUCCAACAAGAAUAAGACUCGGAACCUCAAGAACGGAUCAGAGAGUGGUGUUGCUGAGAAUAUUGGUGGAACUGAUCAAGCCAAGUGCCCUGUUUGUUCCAAGGGUUUCCAUUCGAAGAAGGCCAUGUACGGGCACAUGCGGUGCCAUCCUGAGAGAGAAUGGAGGGGGAUCAAUCCUCCGCCCUUCGCCAAGACUGUUUCUUGCUCCUCUGUGUCUCAGGGAAUUGAUGGAUUGAGCCAUGCGUCCAUGACAUCGACCGUGGUUUCAUCUGAUAUUAGUCCUUCUCAGCCUCCUUUACAGUUGACGAAAACUGGAAUGAGGGGCCAGAAUCGCAUCAUCAACUCGUAUUCUUCUUCGGGUUCGUCCUGUAAUAUCAGCUCAUCGCAGAAGAAAGAAAGUGAGGAAAAGCAUCAAGUUUCUGAAUGUGUAGGCCUGCAGAAGAGGCAACAAAUGAAGAUGUUACAAGUUGGGAAGCUAAUUAGGGAUUAUCCAUCCAAGAAGCUGAAAAUCCAUGAAAGAGGAGCUUUGGGGUUCAGAGGCCAAGAAGAUGCUGGAAACAAAGGGGGUGCUUCUUGGAAGGAUUUUCUAAAAACAGGGUUCAAUUUGGGACCAAAAGAAGUUGAUACGGACAAGAAGAGUAGUGAUGAUAGAAUUAUACCUGGGGGACAACUUGAUGAUCAGAUUGCAAAGAAUACAAAGAAGACCCCAAAGUUCGUAAGCUAUAUGGAUGUUUCUGAUAAUAAGCGAUUUCUGAAGACAUUAUUACCGAGGACAUAUAAACACGGCGCUCGCAAUAAAGC